Long non-coding RNA from Felis catus (domestic cat), 8655 nucleotides. RefSeq lists it as uncharacterized. Lineage: Eukaryota; Metazoa; Chordata; Mammalia; Carnivora; Felidae. The record is from RefSeq and is a predicted model, not a curated record. The transcript has 3 exons.
GCCCGGGGCUGGUUGUAGGGGAUACUGGGUGCUCCAGGGCCAAUUACCCACCCCAGCUGCUCAGAACACCGACUGCUGAUGGCUCACUGGGUUACCCCCGCUGCCAGGGCAGCAGGAACCAGUGCCUGACCCAUGUGAAGGUACCAAGGCCCAGCUCUCUUGCCCCAAUUGGGACAACCUGAAGGACUGUCCCAGCCCCAGGGGUCUCCACAGGGGCCUCGGCUGCAGCCUCAUUGUGGGUCAGCCUCUCCCUCUGCCCAGUCCUGCCUUCCUCCUUCCUUCCAUGGUAUCUCCCCAGGGCAUGCCCUGACAAACCUGUGUGUAACCCUCCAGCUCAGCGAGUUUCUAGGAACUCCGCGUAACGUACCUGUCACAGACAGGGCCCAAUCUCAGCCUCAAAUGGGACCCAGUCCAGGUCACCAGUACUCAGUACCACUUAUGGGCCGAGCCUACAUUCUGCCCCAGUCCGAGCUCCGCUUCUCGUCCCACACUGAGCCCAGGUAUCCCAUGGGAAGCAGAGGAUUGCCGAAGGCAGAAGUAAGGGAUAAUAAAUGGAAGGUUGAAGGAGAUUGGAGCCUGGCGUAGACUGAGAACAGGACCAGAGCAGACCUCCCUGGAGAAGAUGAACCGACAGCCCAGUCAGCCAGGAGGUGGGGGGUCACAGAAUCUCACUUCUCAGAGAGGGCUUUUUCAGAGACAACUGAACAGGAUCUUCUUUAUGGAAAAACCAAAUCUGAACUGAGAAUGGUAAGAAUGAUCCUAAUAGCUGCCAUUUCUCGAGCAAGGAGUGUGUGUCCUGGGCACCGUGCCAUGGGGUCUACAUGGUGGUCUUACUGCCUCCUCAGAACAGCCUCAUGAGGUUCCAUUAUGACCCACUUUACAGAUGAGGAAGCUGAGGCUCAGAGAGCUGAAAUGACUUGCCUUGUGCCUCAGACAUGGCAGAGUCAGCAUUCGAACCCUGGACCAUUCUGUGCUUCUGUGGGAUCUAGGCUCAAGCAGAGACUGGUCUCCCAAAGCAAGAUCCAGAAGGGGCUUCUAGGCCCCAUGGGUCAUCUGAACAAGCUGUUCACCAAGUCCCUGCAAGUGCCCAGGGCUGCAGAGGAGUCAGGAAAAGAGUGGUGGGCAGUCCGCGGGCCCGUGUAAGGUGACCUGGCCCCAGCUUCAGGCAGCCCGCCGUUCUCAGGGCCCUCCAGUUCCCAUUAUUUGAUUCCUACAGCCAUGCACAUAUCCAUCCACCCACGCUUCUGUGCAUUCUUCCAUCCGCAACUGUGCAGUGAGCGUUCUCUGUGGACCAGGUCUGGCCUGGGUGCUUGGGACGGAGCGGGCACAGCCCGCCCUCGUGGAGUGUACAGGCUGGCAGGGGAGCCACAUGUUAAACAAACAGCCCACGGAGCCCGGAUGCAUCACCACCGUGCUAAGUGCUGGGAAGAGCAGCUCAGGAUGUCGUGAGUGGAUGUAACAAGGACGUCUCUCUUGGGAGUGUUCUCUGGGCCCCAGGGAACUAGUGGGCGGGAAACCUGCUGAGACAGCCCCAUGGGCUUGGCCUCAGGGGACAGAAGCUGUGAGAAAAGGGUGAAUAAUGCCCCAGUGGAGCCAACUGGCCCGGUGAGGCUGCAGCCAGCCCACCUUCAGAUGGGGGUUCCUUGGCUGCAGCAGGAGGUAAGUCGGGAGGUAAGUGAGGGUUGGGGGUCUUUUGAAAAUCUCCCUCCAGAUUUCAUUUGUGAGCCUUCCCAGCUGGAGCCUGAAGCCUCCAAGAACUGUAUCAGAGUUUUAGGAAACACAAGAGAAGUUAUUUCAGGAGAAGGGAACAGCAUGAGCAUACGUGUGGAGGUGGGGAUAGUAGACAGACUCAGGAAGGUAGAGCAAGGAGAGAAAAGGGAGGAGAAACUGAGCUGUGGUCCUCAGGGGUUUCAUUAGCACCCUGGGGGCUUGGUCCCCACCCUAUACCAGUAGUAGUGAUUACUGUGGAAAGCUGUGUGCCCCAAGAAGGUCAUGUGUGACCCCCACUUCGUCCUCACCAGAUCCAGUAAGAUUUUUACAGCUGGACCCCAUUUUACAGACAGCAAAACCAAAGCCAGGGGAGGUUAACUGUGUCACCCAAGAGCACAGAGUUAGCAAGUAAAGGGUCAGGAUUCAAUCCCAGCCCGUGAUCUUUUUUUUUUUUUUUCAAAUCCCAGCCCAUAUUCUUAACAACUCCCCUAGUGUGCUCAGCAAACAGUGGGAGGAAAUCCGGAUAUAUGAUGGGCAGCGCCCAUGCUCACCCCACUGUGGUCUUGUCUGGCCCUCCCACUAAACAGAGUUUAUUUACCUCUGUCACCGCACGACACUGCACCCACAACUGGUGCUUAGAAAAUAUCGUGAAUAAAUAACCAUCCUAAGUGUUCACCAUGUGCCACAUCAGCACAGCCCUACGAGGUUGAUACGAUUAUUAGCCCCAUUUCACAGGUGGGGAAACUGAGACUCGGCUAGUAGGGGGUAAGGCCGUGAUUCACUAAGCAGCAGGUAAAUAAAUCAGCAAACUCGUUGAUAAGCGUGAGUAACGACCAGUGAAUGGAUAAGAGCAAAGGUAAAUAAGUAAGUAAGGAGUUCAAGGAGGGACAGAGGGAGCCAAGGUGAGAUGUAGGUCUCAGUGGUGUGCAGGAGAGGUGAAGGCCAUUACACCUGUCCCACCUCUGGCUCCCAGGAAAAGGGCUUUUUCUGCUCCCAGGAUGGCCUGGGGUCUUUCCAGGCUGUUGCCUAGCAACAAUGCCCUCACCCCGGCCCCUCCCCCUUUGACUGGCCAGAGCUGGGGCACAAGCAGCCAGCCCCAAGGCCCCCAUGGCAAUGGGGACCCUGGGCUCUCAGGCUGGGGGCACGAAGGCCAGGGCCAGAGAGGUGGGCCUGGCUGGGCUCCAAGGCUGAGAGAAAUGCCCCAAGACCUCCCCGAGGGAAGGGCUGCUUCCAUUUAUUCUGCAGACUGUCCAUCUGGCGCUGGGUUCAUAGCUGCCCAGAGCAGUGACCUGGGGCCCUGAGUUCAAAGCCCUGGGCUGGAGAUCUUGUAUGAGUCACUUCCCUUCCUGAAUCCAUUUCCUCGUCUGUAGAAUGGGGACACGGUGCCCACUCGUCGGGGAGACAGUGUGGGAACAGAGCGGGGCCAGGCAAGCCUUCACGCCAGGAGUAUGCCGGCCACUUCUAGAGGAGAAAGAUCUGGGGCGAAGACCUGUCAACAGCCCCCUCCAAGAGAGGAUAGCGUGCCCUGCGUGGGAGUGGAGUCCUCGAGGGCUCCCUGAGGAGGUGGGCCUGUGGGACCUCCCUCAGUGGGGAUGGCAGAGGAAGCAAACAUCCUUUCUAAGGCCCUGAGGCCAGAGACGGGAGCCCACCCAGUAGCAGUGACUAUUUGCCCAUGGCCAGGCACAUUUACGUUUAGUCCUUACUGCAGCUCCAGAGUUUGGAAGCUGUGCCCCCGGCUCAGAAAGGUAAAGAGACUUGCUCUGGGUCACACAGCUGGUGAGCCGAGUGGCAGUGAAGUCCACCUCCCUUUCCCCUGCUCAGACGGGUGGAGCCGAGAGCAAGUGGCAAGACAAUGCCACCGUGGAGUCCUGAGGGGCCCCUCCCGGCCCCGUGAGGGAGUCUGGACUUUGUGCAGAGGGCAGUGGGGAGCCACUGAUGGUUUCUGAGCUGGGAGAGAAAUGACCCAGGCUGGGUCCUCAGGUCCCUAGGUGCUGUCCUGGGCCAUCUGUCUCCACCUCCCACCCCUGCCACCCUCUGCAUCCACCCACCCCCCCGCUUCUCAACCACACCGAGAAGCCAUGUGUGACGGAGGAGAAUGUAAAAAUAUAUGUGUAACUGAACAACAACGUGCUGACAGAACACAGCUAUAAAUACUCUGACGGUGCAGCACCAUUCCGCGGAUCCUGCUUCCUGCUGCCUGAGGAGUGGGGGCACGGGGUUCGACAGGUGGGGUGGGAACUCGGAAGGGAAAGGAAAGGGGACGGCCGCUUGUGGCCCCACUUUGUGCCAAAAGCUUCACGAGUAGCACGUCUCUGAUUCUUCCUCCAAACCCCAAAACCCCCUCAGAGAAUCACUACUGUCGUCCCCAGUUUACAGGUGAGGAAACUCAAAUUCAGAGAGGGAGGUCGUCUGGUCAAGGUCACACAGCGAGGAGGCAGUGGAGCUGGGAUUCCCGCAAGCCCUGCCACGGGCCAGCCCCAGCCGUCCAAGGAACAGCAAGCGGGCUUCAGGCUCUGCUUCGCUCACUCCCCGUCCGGGGCCAGAGAGAGCUUUAGGCUUCCAGGCACUCCCCUGCUCCCAUGCCUUCCAUGGCUCCCCAGUGCCCUCUAGAUAAACACCAAACUCAGUGAGGCCCUUAAGAUCCUGUGCUCUGGCCUCUGACCAUCUCUGGAGCCCACCUCCCGCCACGUCCUGCUCUCUGUGCCACAGAGAUCUGUGCCUCCGUACCUCCCGUUCCCUUUGCCAGGCAUGCUGUCCCUCUACCUAGGGGCUUCAGCUCAAGUGCCACCUCCCCCCGACGUCCCACCACAGCUGAGGCCCUCCCGUGCUUUCCCUGCGAUUUGUGAAGCCCCAUUGUGACCCGGUGGGUCGUUAGGGGUGGCGGCCACAGCCGGUGAGGGCGGAGACGGGGCAAGCUGCAGGCAGCGCGGCCGCAGGGCGGGUGCCCCCAAGUGCUCGGCCCCUCAGGAGGUGCCAUGUCACAUAAAUGCCCCUCUCUGAUGCACGGGCGGGGCCGGGCAAUGACUGCACCAGGUGAAGUGGCCUUCGGUCUGUCAGAGACAGUCUGGGGUGGCGUGAGACAGACAUGGAAGGGAGCUGGCCUCUGGGCUCCGGGGUGAGCAGGAAAGGAAAUGGAGGAGGAAGAGAGGCAAGGGGGCUCCCGGGGCCCCUGCAGAGGCCACUGGAUACCCACUGAGAAGUCUUGGGAGUAAGUUGGCCCCGUCUCUCGGACCCUCACUGUGUCCGGACCAGCCUUCCACACGCGGUCUGAACCUGUCUGCACCUCUGGCCAGCGUGGGGGCAAAGCCCCAUCUCCUUAUGGUCCCUGGACUGCAUGAUGUUGGCCCCAGAGUGGAAGCUCCUCUGAGCUCCUUAUACAAACCACGCACAGGCAAUGCACCCUUUGCUGUAGGUGUCGCAAAGGAGGGUCUGCCGGAAUCUGCUCCAGAGCCGUCUCCCUGAGCUCACCCCAGGCUUUCUCCACCUGCUGGCUUCUGCCUCUCUCCCUCCUGCCCUGCCUUCUCUUCCUCUCCUCUCUUUUCAGGAGCAAGACAUCAACAUUUUGCCUUCUGCCUCCCGCAGCGUACCUCAUUUUUUUGAACCAAGCCAGGCUCUUCCCGGGAUUGUAGUGAAUGCGAGUUUGCUUCAUCUAGUUGCAUCCACGGGUCUGUGUGAUAUUUCAGGGCUGGUACCAUGUCCCUGCGCACUGUUGUAUCCCCAGCCCCCAGCCCAGUAUUUGGCCCCCACUAGGCAUUUGGUAAAUAUGUAGCAAGUAAAAAUGAGUGGGACGGGGCUACCGAGGAAGGGGACUGAGAAAGUUGCUUUCUGUGGCUGUCUGGGGCCUCUUGCUCUUGGAGGUCAGUUCUGUGGCAGAGGGACUAAUUCAGGACGAGGCUGAAGCUGAUGUGUGUCCGUCUCAGGCCCCAGAAACGACACAGUGCUAACACAUUCUUGGCUCCUCCGAGGGCCGUGUGAACAGUAACACUCGGGGGUCCUUCUUUAGGGUCUAACACAUCGGCCUGUCCUGAGGGGUACAAAGGGCAACAAAGAAACAGGGCAGGGGCUCCCAGGACAGGCUUCCCAUCAGACUCCCUGGGACUUUACUCCCCGUAAAGUAUUUAACCACCAGAGCCACCUGGGCCUCACACCUCCUUCCCAAGACCUGAUUCAAAUGUCUGAUGUGGGACGUGGUGAUUGAUUUAUUAAAAGUCCUAGGUGAUUCCAAUAUACCUCCCUGACACAGAGAAAAGAACUGUGUUUCUUUUUUUGUUUUUAAACUAAUCUGUCUGUAAUGCCUGUGAGGUUUCCACAUCGGGCCCCCUGAGGAGCAGGCUGUCGGUAGGCCGGUGGUUCAGGGUGAGGGCCUGGCCAGAUGGGAGAGAGGAAGGGACGUGGGCUUUGCAGGCAUUGGAGAACUUGGGUUUGAACCCUGUCCUCCACCAUCCCAGCUCUGUGGCCUUGGGCAAGUCACUUCAGCUGUGUGCAUGUCGGUGUCCUCUGUUAACUGACAGAAUUCCUACUGCACAGGUUGGCUGGGAUCAAUCGCCUAACACAGGGUCCAGCCUAGAGCCGGUGCUCCAUAAAGUGUGGUUCCGUUACCUUCCUGACCAAGCUACGGGGUGGGAGGGGAGGUCACGUGGGGCCCCCAGCCUGGCUCAGUACCUGACGGGAAGAACCCCGGCCUGGGAGAAAUUUCUAGUGCUGACCCAUCAUGAUAUGUGACCUUGGCCAAGUCCGCCUCGGUGACCCCAUUCAGCUCUGACCCGGGAGACAGGUGAGGGCUGACAUUUAAGGGGGUGAAUAGAUCUGUUUCAGCCAAUUCUCUGGGGCAGAUCACUCAACCUCUCUGAGCCUCAGUUUCCUCACCUGUGAACAGAGAUCCAACAGUGUGCACAUCUCACUGCAACUCUGUUUGGUGACGUCAUGUUGCUAGCUUAGAGUGGGCCAUGGUGGGAGUAUUGACACCACGUAAAUUGGCAAACAUUACAAAUCAGGAUUUCCUCGGCCUCCCCUUCCAUCCCCACUCUGCCCCUGACAGUCAGUUCACCAGCACAUCGGCCACCGGGACUCCGAUAAAUCAACUUUCACCAUGGUUGUUGGGAGAUUCAGAGAACUAUUGCCUGUUAAGCAAUUAGCACAGCACCUGGGACUUAGCACAGCACCUGGGCACUAAUAUGUGCUAGUCACACACACUUAAAAUUUAUCAGCUAUCACUUUGUCUCCGGCCUGAUAAAUGGUGAUCACAUGUGUGAUCUCAUAUAGCUUUAACAACCCUAGGAAAUAUCUAGAAGAGGAAAUUCAGGCUCAGACAGGCUCGGUGACUUCAAAUGCAAUUAGAUUUUACAGGCCUACUAUGUGCUGAGUUUAUUUUUACAUACCCAUCUCAGUUCAGCCUCACCAACCCCUUUUUCUCACUACAGUUGAAAGGCCCAGAAUGGGCAAGCGACCCGCCCAAGGUCCCACGUUGCGCACGGGGCCUUGUAUCUGUCUUGAACCUACAUGCACGGGUCUCCGCUUCUGCCCGGCUCCCUCCGAACCACAUCCAGCCGCAUUCUCUUCUGAAUCAGGAUGCUGGUAGCACGUCCUCCUCACUUGCGACACUCGAAGAUGUCUCUGAACAUUGCCAUAUGUCCCCUCGGGGGCAAAAUCCCCCUCCGCCCCGGUGAGAGCCCGUGCUUUAGGGUCUGUGUUUACUAGGCUGUUCCUCUCCUCUGCUGCCAGUGUCUUUGAGGAUAAGGAUCAAAAUCUUUCUCCCCACCGAGAGAGGCAGUUCUGGAACCAAAGCCAGGCCAGGUGAGAGCACACCAGCUGUGUGACCUUGGGCUAGUUCUCAGCCUCUCCGUGCCCCGGUUUCCCUAUCUGUAAAAUGAGCCCUCGCCCCCACAAAAGGUGAUCUUGAGGUUUAAAUGAGUUAGCGUAUGUGAAGCAUUCGGAGCAGUGCCUGGCACACACAGUGUGAGCCCUCACGACAGUCCAGGGGCCCGCGUGACCAAGUCCCAGCCCAUGCCUGUUCUCCCCAUCAGAAAGGGGAGAAGGACCCCAGCUCCUGCUAGGGAGCUCCACAACAACUUCUGCUGUUCCCUGUCCUCCCCUCGCACUCCCCCUCCUGCCAGCCUUGGAGAUGCUGGAGAAAACAGCGACGAGGACGGCCACAUAGUCCCACAGGAUCACAAGGCACUAAGAACAAAAACUGCCUCUUCCUCUUUCCCUGCAGUGCUGGCGGUGCACAGAGAGGCGUGUGGAGGCCCGCGCCUGAUUUAAAAAAGCAUCCGAUUAAAAUACAAUUCCUUUUAUUAUCCAGUAAACUAUAAAAAUACAUAUAAAGAAACACAUUUUGUCACUGGAGUUGGUCGGCACAUUUUACUGGUCAUUAGCGUGUGUUUUGUUACACUGACGUCUGUUAAAAACAAGGUUCCAGAAUGCUGUCCUCCUUUGGGUGCUUGGGAGAAAUAGUAUCUCAAAGGCAUUCCAGGGUGUCCUUACAGGAACAGCUCCCAGUGCAGGAGCAUACGUGGGCGUGGCUUAAAUCUUCCCUUUCUUUAGAAGGAAGGGUCCCUAGACAUUACCAGGUCUAGUCUUCUCCUAGUGGAGGAAUCUGAGGCCCAGGACCGUCCUUUGUCCAAGAUCAGAGAACAACUUGUUCAGCAACCGUUUUCCGAGUGUAUUAGUGAGCCCCAGCUGCUGUAAUAGAUAGGCCCUCAACCUCAGUGGCACAAUGGAGUUGUCUUUCUUGCUCACAUGGCAGGUGUUCUGGUUAAUGAAUGAGCCUUCUAGAUGGUGACUCAUGGACCCAGGUUCCUUACUUGUGGCUGUGCCCUCCUCUAGGGCCUCAGAAUCAUCUGCUUUCAGCUGGAUGGGGAAAGAAUUCUGAAGAUUGCACAUUUUUACAGAUUUUUACAGGUUUUUUUUAAUUAAAAAAUUUUUUUAAUGCUUACCUAUUUUGGG